Non-coding RNA from Erwinia tracheiphila, 38 nucleotides. Lineage: Bacteria; Pseudomonadati; Pseudomonadota; Gammaproteobacteria; Enterobacterales; Erwiniaceae. The record is from Rfam.
AAGCUCAUUGGCAGCUGCAAGUCAAGAGCGGUAGCGUG